Hipposideros armiger (great roundleaf bat) is the source of this 890-nucleotide long non-coding RNA. RefSeq lists it as uncharacterized. The transcript has 4 exons. Lineage: Eukaryota; Metazoa; Chordata; Mammalia; Chiroptera; Hipposideridae. The record is from RefSeq and is a predicted model, not a curated record.
GAGUCCCUAGUUGAGCCGACACCAGAGGGGGGCGCAGCCGGGGUGCGCGUGGGAACGUCGCCAAACCAAGGCAGCUUGUGCCGCGGGGGCGGUAGGCGGCUGGAAACUGGGGUACCUCUGAGGCACCCCCGCUCUCAACAGCUGCAGUCUCCACACAACAGGCAGCGCUGGCCGUCGGAAGCCCUGGGGAGCCCGGCUCCAGUCACCCCCCCGGGGCGUCCCAAGCUCCCUCAUCUGCGCCCUCCGGCUGGAACAAAGGAGAGGGGGCGCUCGGCAUCGCCCCGGCUCAUCUGGCCAAAGCCAGGAGAACAAGGCCGAGGGUCCCCAAGGGCAGGUGCGGUAGCUGUGACCCCUCUGUGUGCUCUCCAAUGACAAGUGGAAGCCUCCUGUGGGCAGGACCCAGGCUGUGUUCAUUUAUGAAUCCCCAGUAGCCAGAACAGGACUGGCAUACACAGGGGAGGAAACCCAAGUGCGAAGAGAGGAAGAAACUGCAGAGUUCAUGCAGCCAGGAGAAGGCAGAGCUCAGAAGGUUCUCCAGUCUCUGUAAAUGAGGGCCAUUGAUGCUGUCCGAGGUGUGGAAAGCUUCAUGGGACCCUCUCUGCCCAUUUCACUGAUGAAGAAACUGAAGGUCAGAGAGGUGAAGGAUUGGCCCGUGGGAACACAGCUGGAUGCAGUGGACUCAGACCUGUCCUGGGACGCCACAGCUGGGUCUUUCAUCCCACUGACCCCUCGCCUACAGAAGGAAGAGGCUCCUUAGGCCCAGAGCAAGGAGGAUCACACUGCCUUACGAGCUUUAUAAUUGGUAUUGGUGUCCAGGAGAACAAAUUCUUCCACUUUCUUCUUCUUUUUUUAAAAAAAUGUCCUUUUCAAAAAAUAGCUAUCCUUCACCC